CCUACGGGUGGCAGCAGUGGGGAAUUUUCCGCAAUGGGCGCAAGCCUGACGGAGCAACGCCGCGUGAGGGAUGAAGGCCUCUGGGCUGUAAACCUCUUUUAUCAAGGAAGAAGAUCUGACGGUACUUGAUGAAUAAGCCACGGCUAAUUCCGUGCCAGCAGCCGCGGUAAUACGGGAGUGGCAAGCGUUAUCCGGAAUUAUUGGGCGUAAAGCGUCCGCAGGCGGUCUUGUAAGUCUGUCGUUAAAGCGUGGAGCUUAACUCCAUUUAAGCGAUGGAAACUGUAAGACUAGAGUGUGGUAGGGGCAGAGGGAAUUCCCGGUGUAGCGGUGAAAUGCGUAGAUAUCGGGAAGAACACCAGUGGCGAAGGCGCUCUGCUGGGCCAUAACUGACGCUCAUGGACGAAAGCCAGGGGAGCGAAAGGGAUUAGAUACCCCUGUAGUCCUGGCCGUAAACGAUGAACACUAGGUGUCGGGGGAAUCGACCCCCUCGGUGUCGUAGCCAACGCGUUAAGUGUUCCGCCUGGGGAGUACGCACGCAAGUGUGAAACUCAAAGGAAUUGACGG
RNAcentral lists this ribosomal RNA (564 nucleotides) under uncultured bacterium. RNAcentral's name for it is "bacterial SSU rRNA". It matches the Rfam family "Bacterial small subunit ribosomal RNA", at positions 338 to 916 of the family's 1533-position model. The record is from RNAcentral.